Molecule: long non-coding RNA, 3658 nt
Organism: Gasterosteus aculeatus aculeatus (three-spined stickleback)
Lineage: Eukaryota; Metazoa; Chordata; Actinopteri; Perciformes; Gasterosteidae
Source: Ensembl
GUGCAGAAUAUUAUUUCAUUAAAAACACUAAAAUAUGAGUUCUUUUGGUCUGAUAAGACUCAUCGCUCUCCUCUGCGUAUUUAUGGCCUUUGCAAACAUCUUCAUUCUUUACCUUCUGCCACCACAUACUGCUCUGAAGCAGGAACCGAACCGAGGCGCUGGAGCAGAGGGGCUCCUUUUGUCUUUUUAAAAUCCAUUGUUCCUUUAGAGUGACUCAUUUCUUUACGAAAAAAAGAAAAGAAAUCUCCAUUCAGAGCGGAGUGAUGAUAUCGCUCAACGUGCAUGCUCGCUUUAGCCGAUCAUUGAUGCCAUCAGCCGGAAGGAGGCUCGCCAUAUGUCACAGGCAUUCAUGUGUCGGCGCGGCGUGUCCCCGCCGAUCAACUGGUCUGCUUCCACUCACUUGGGCCUCUAUUCUUCACGCCAGCAUGGAGGCAACGCCACACGCAGCCCUUGUGGUCUGCGGAGGCAACAAGUGUGAAAAAUGGGGGUGGAAAUAUGUGCAGGAUGUAUAUAUAUAUAUAGGGGUUGUAUUGUUUCUGCGGGACACCGGGGCAGAUGGACGAACAAUGUUUGCCGGGCAACGUGGUUCAAUAUGUCACGCUGCAGCACGAGAAGGAACAGCUGUGCGGGCCUCCAAACAAGGAGCAGGCUGCCUGGCAACUGCGCUCCCAUUGGCCAACCUUCCACCUCCUCCGACCAAUUGCAGCAGCUCCACCACGAGGAAGCGAAUGGGGGAGAAAAACAAAGCAGAGGGGGAAACAGAAGGAAGAAAAUGUGAGAAAGUUUGCAGUAAGAAACAUGUUGAGGAUGUAGACUUUGGCUCGUGCUCCCAACAGGGAGUGAUGUGAUUUGAAAAGGCCGACUAGGCGUACGGAAGCACUUUAACCUCUUUUCAGAAAGAUCUGCAAAACUUUUAAUGUUUCCCGUCUUUCGGGAAAUUCCUGGAUUCUGCCAAAAAUUUGCUUUACCCCUUUUUAACUAAACGGAUUAUGGGGGGAACAAUCCCUACUUCACAUUACACCCACAGCCAUUGCUGCAACAACCAUUUUUGUUUGGUAUCAAAGUCACCAAUGUGUUCCGGUGCUCACCGGGGGACCUGAGUCACAUCUCCCCGGGAUGAAAGGUGUUUGUUUUACAGUAGCUGUGACGCAUGCCGUUGCUGGUAGACUUGAGGUUCGGCAGACGAGGGGCAAGAGGGGUAAAUACAAACAAGAAGUGAGUCAAUGGGGGGGGGGCAGCACGUAGCUCGUGUUUAUGGUGCGAGUGGGUGGGCAUCCGUGUUCAGAUACGCCCUGUAAUUACAGUCGGAGAACGUUGUGAGACGCAGGGCGCUUCUCUCCCCCGGAGGCCUCGGCAACAAAAAACCUGCAGAGCGACGAAGGCCCCGUCAACCUGCCCCGGUACAUGUGCAGACAAACAGCACAAAUGAGUCCUUGUGGCAUUGUAUUCGGGUCCUGAAGAGGUUUGCUGCUUGACAACAACUUGGUCAAUCAAAACGGCCCAAAUAUUACCGCUUCCUUUUGGCAAAAUGUCAUCAAACUCAAGCUCUUCAGAACGUGGGCGUUUGGACAAAGGGCGUAAAUGGGAAAAUUGGGAAAGCUGUUGGUUUACAUGGAUCCUCUGAUCCUCUUUUUUAUUUCAUAGUAUUGAUGUAAACCUUUUAGUUUUGCAAUACCGUAAUGUGGUGCAUAUUUAGGGAAUUGUGAUUAGUCGGACCAUUGAAAGUUCUGGCAAUUUUAUUGACAUCAGCACUGUGAGCAGCAGAUAUGCCCGGACAUGAAAAAUGUUUUACUUUUGAACACAGGUAUGGUCUUUUUUACUAGAGCUUUAUAGCUUGCCCGGGGAAAGACUUUUUUCCCCAUUGAAGUAAAGACAAAUUAAUCCAACUUGUCGAUUUGCAGCCUAAUGAAAGCUCAGGCCUGCGGGGCUACAACUGAAAACCAUCCAAUUCCUCUCCUGCUUAUAAUAAAUAAAGCAAUGUGGGCCUCUGUGGGACUUAACUGUCUCUUAAUUCAGACCGACCCUCUCUUUAAAAAAGAAACAACCAUUCCCCUUUAAAAACAAAUACCUCUCUGCCAUUUACACCUAGUUCUUGACUCAUGAAGCCGGCAGUGCAACCCAAUGAGAGCUCUUUGAUAAGCGUUGACACAGUAAAGUCAAAUUGUAGCGAUUAGUGGCCGAGAUGCUAAAUAAACCGUACCGCUCGCCUGAACUUUUAAUUCUCACAAAUAGUUUGACGUUGUGUGACUGAGAUAUAAAUCACAGCCUCAGGGAACCAGCAGAGGGUGUGAAGGCGAUAGCUGCUAAAAUACAACCUAGGAGAUUCAGUUUGUCUACACUGACAGCCUUUUUGUUAAAAAUGUAUAUAAAACAUAAGCAGUUGGCAUAGUUUUUAGAGUUUUCUUUCUUUUUUGAGAACACGUAUGCGUGGUCAGGAAUCUCAGAGGCUUCCACAGGACAUCAGCCCCAAACUGACCUCAUUGUGUAAUAUGCCAAAGCCCCAGGGGAGUUUACCCAAACUGACCAAUGGCAUUUCAGAUCAAUAAUGACCCCGAGGUCUCUCCGAGGCCACGGGCGACCAAACAGCAUCAGUCUGGUCCCACUGUGAGGCCCAGACAACCCAAACAUAAUCCAUGGAGUCCCGUCCCGGAUUACCGUGUCUGCUCCACCCACACUCCACUUUAUGGAAAUUAGUCAGGAUUAUAUGAAGUCACACACACACACACACAUACACAAGAACACGGUCUCCCGGUGUAAAAGCGGUGCAACAAAAUCACCCGAGAUCUUUCUGUUUUCCUGAAAACAGCGAUUACUGCAGCUGUCAUUUCCCCCAGAUUAGUGGGAGUGGAGUAGAUUGGAGGGAUUCGUCUCCACACCACACAAACAAAGCGUUUUGGCUGAGUCCUUCUUAUCUGGCACGAGUGGGAACAACAUGGCGAGUCUCAAAAUGCAGAUUUGUUUUGUUUGGCCCAUGGGAACACGUUGCCAUGGUGACCGUGAUAGCGAUUUCUCGGUGGAUGUGUCACGCAGGCUUGUGAAUUCUGGCUGCAGCACAUUUCAGCAGGGGUUUGCACGUGUUUUUGAAUGAUACCAAAUGUUUUCACCGUGUGUUAUACCUUUCCACAUGAGGACAAGUGUGCAUGUUCUCGUCGAAUGGUUUCAGCACGUGUGUCAAUGCUCCCGAAUCUGCAUAAAUAUCAUCAACCGAUGGUUCAGUGGCUGUUUCCAAGGCACCGGAGGCUCCGGGAGAACUUUCACUAGCCGUGUGAUCUCUCACGCUGGUCUUAUUUUAUCUUCUUUUCUCAAUCCAGCGGAAAGAAACGUGCUGAUCCACUGUGGUUUUCUCUGCUCACAUGCAUCCCUUGUUUCCCACCAGCUUUGAUCCCUUUUCCAAUGCAGACAGGAACGAGCCCGUGGUGAGAAUUUGGAAUGAAUAAAGAGGUGUUGGGAAUGAAUGAGCAUACAGGUGAUGAUUGUUCAUACGUUGCUCAGUGGUCGUGCAUCGAAAGCCCACACCAACAACAACAAAAAACCCAGCUCCAAAGCCUCAGAGAGAGAGCGGCUGAUGAAACAAUGUUGGUUGCGGAGGCGGCUUCUGACCGAGCUCACCUGCGGAUUAAACUGCUCCGCAGGGAGAUGCAAAGCACAUCGCAGCGGC